Lycium barbarum (goji berry) is the source of this 1894-nucleotide long non-coding RNA. RefSeq lists it as uncharacterized. The transcript has 9 exons. The record is from RefSeq and is a predicted model, not a curated record. NCBI's taxonomy places the organism in Eukaryota, Viridiplantae, Streptophyta, Magnoliopsida, Solanales, Solanaceae.
UAAUAGGAAGGACGAACAGGGGCAAAAUUAUAAUUUCAGUGUUACAUUUUUGGGGCAAAUUUGGAACUAAAGUCACUACUCACUACCAAGGGAUCUAAUCUCUCUCUCUCGCUUCUCCCUCGUAUUGCUCCUCAAUUCAGACCAAAUUUCUCUGCUUUAGGUCAUACAAUAGAUGCACCUCUCAUCAGGUUUACCAAAAUAGUACUCCACCAAUCAAUAACUCAAAAGGAAUAUAUGAAAGAAAAGGUACUGUGAAUUUACUGCGGAACCCUCGACCGACGAAUUGCUGACAGAAAUUUGAGCCGUCGUACUAGAUAUGCACAAAUGUCGCCUGAGAGCAAACAUUUACUUUUGUCCCGACUAAGAGAUAAAAGAGUUGAAUCGAAAAAGCGAAAACUCCUUCAUCCUUCAAGGACUACAGUCUCAUCUCCUGAAGUUGACAUCCGGCCUCCAAAAAGAAGAGCUCUUACUAUUAUCACUCCUGAAGGAGGUGUCAGCAACUUUUAGUUUUUCAUUGUGUUAAAUAUACAGUGCUCAAGGAAUUGGAAGAGAUUGUAGAUCUCUUUGUUAGAUGAUAGUUCAAAUGAGUUGCAAAUGUGAAUUGGAAAUCUCAACGUAGCUUAUAAGUUAUGUAAGUAUUAAGUGAAAUCCUCAAAAAUGAAUGAUGCAGGCAAGAAGUGCAAAUUACCUGUUCCAUUUUCUUCAAGCAAGCAGGAAAAGCCUGCGUCAAUAUCAUCCUCAUUAGAUUCAAAGGUUACAUUCUUUUGCUGAAAUGUAUAGCCAGUUGUAAGCUUUGAGAAUAUGGGGUGAUGCAGUUUCAAGUUAUCAAAAUGUGGUGUGCUGAAAAAAGCAUUUUUGUUGAAUUCAACAUGAAGGCCUUGGAGAUGGUAGACUAGGACAUAUCGUAAACACAACAUAAAACCUCAUUGAUUCUUUUUUGGAGGUUUUCCAUGCCAUAAUGGAAGCCAGUAUUGCUCAUAACUCAAAAGACGUGUUUGCAUAAGGUCCAGCUUCCCAUUUCAAUCAUCGGCAGCAUAGUUGUUUUCUGAUCUCUUGCAACUCCACAACAAUUGGGAAUUAAGUCGCUCAAUGUUGGAAAGAUCAGCAAAAUAGUAAACCAGUUAAAUGGACUCUCCUGCUGCACUGAGGGACGUGCCUCGAUCAAACCAAUAAAUACUUUUACUUCUUUAGAAACUUCACUUCUCUGGGAGGGCUGCAACCACAGAUGCAUGUUCAAAUGCACUGAUCUUUCUGGUAGCAUUCUUCAUUACACUCAAUACUCAUAAAAGUCUUGUGGAAUUAGAAGAAGAAAGUUCUUGAAAACGUACUUUUGGUGGAUUGACUGAAACAGUUUCAUUUCCAACAAGUGCCGGUGAAAGAAACAAAAAGUAAAUGAACUCUUCAAGCACAAAUGAACAAGAAAGGGAAGCAACAAUUACAAAACCUGAAACUUCAGGCAAGAUGCUGAAACUAGAACCACCGAGGGUGGAACUCUUCUUCUACCUCACCUCUGAAUGUGAAUAGAGAUAUAUCAAUCCCUUCUUCCUCUAAUGUGAUUGUGUUUGGAGGAUGCAGCAACAUACCCUUAAAAUCUAUGCUGCACUUUCAAGGUUGAAGUCGAUAAAAAUCAAGUAUGUCAAAACUUACACCUCUACUAUGGUUGUGCGGUUACUAGUUGAAACUUGAAGAUGGAAAAGAAAUGCAUCUUGAAGUGCAAGAGACAUGCUAGUGUAUUUGUGGUCAAAACAACAAUAAGGUUGUUAGAAGGAAGUGACAAAAAAAGGCUGGAGAAGAACCUCCAAAAUCAGUUGUAGUCAUCAUAUUUUUUCGUAAUUUGGAUUCUAAUAUUCCAGAUCUGGAACUAAUUGAAUUGACUAUUACUUUUGUUUCCUCC